Molecule: unclassified non-coding RNA, 335 nt
Filed under: soil metagenome
Description: partial contains 5.8S ribosomal RNA, internal transcribed spacer 2, and large subunit ribosomal RNA
Rfam family: 5.8S ribosomal RNA (bases 1-120)
Source: RNAcentral
GAUGAAGAACGCAGCGAAAUGCGAUAAGUAGUGUGAAUUGCAGAAUUCAGUGAAUCAUCGAAUCUUUGAACGCACAUUGCGCCCAUUAGUAUUCUAGUGGGCAUGCCUGUUCGAGCGUCAUUUCAACCCUUAAGCCUAGCUUAGUAUUGGGAAUCGACUUUACUGUCGUUCCUCAAAUUCAACGGCGGAUUUAUAGCAAUCUCUGAACGUAGUAAUUUUUUUCCUCGUUUUUGAAAUACUAUAAACCUCAGCCGCUAAACCCCCAAUUUUUUUAUGGUUGACCUCGGAUCAGGUAGGAAUACCCGCUGAACUUAAGCAUAUCAAUAAGCGGAGGA